Coffea arabica (coffee) is the source of this 647-nucleotide long non-coding RNA. RefSeq lists it as uncharacterized. The record is from RefSeq and is a predicted model, not a curated record. Lineage: Eukaryota; Viridiplantae; Streptophyta; Magnoliopsida; Gentianales; Rubiaceae.
CUUUCUCUUUAGUUUUAGUUUUUCUAUUUUUUUUCUUUUCUUCUCACCAGAGUGGCCGAGCCCAGCCUGCAGCAGUAGCUCGAAUUUUGGCCUGCCAUUCUGUUCUUACAGUCCCCAAAUUGGCGCCCUGCUGUUCAUCUGCCGCUAAUCAGCAUUCAGGAACUUUUUGAGUUGGCUGCUUCAGAGUUUUGUUGGCAUUUGGGUCUGAAAUACAAUUAAAGGAGAUAUUUUGAAGAUCUAUGAAUUGCAAAGAUUGAAGAAUUGUAAUAUCUUGGAGAAGCUUGGAAGUAAGAUAGAAAUUACAACCGAUAUGUGGACUUCUAGCAACACAAAGAAAGGCUUCAUGGCUAUCACUACACAUUAUAUUGAUGAUUCUUGGAUCUUACAAAGUCAAAUUUUGAGCUACUUGCUCUACUUUGGAAGGGAUAUCAUGUAAUACAUUGUUUGAUGAAGAAGAUGAUGUUGAUUGUGUUACUGAAUAGCAUCAAAUGUCAGGGUUGCUUUAUCAAGUGAGUUAUCACAUCUCAAGAUUGAUGAAGAGCAAAUGUUCUAAAGUUGUUGAGUUAUGUUAAUGACAAGAAAAACUGGAUUUAUUGUUAAGUGUUUUUAGUUUGUUAAAUAUGAGAAAUCAACUCGACUGAGUUUGU